Molecule: long non-coding RNA, 1905 nt
Filed under: Numida meleagris (helmeted guineafowl)
Lineage: Eukaryota; Metazoa; Chordata; Aves; Galliformes; Numididae
Description: lncRNA (ENSNMEG00000002257.1)
Source: RNAcentral
GAAGGUUGCCUUGGGGCCACCUUGGGUUGAACACACUGGGGCCAACCAUCCACUAACUGACACACUGUCCCCUUGGAGCAGUGGACAUCACUACAGCUGGGUCUCCUGAUAGAAGUCUUUGUCUGGACACACUGAGGCCAACCAUCCACCAUUUGGCACACGGUUCCCUUCUGACACUGGACAUCACGACAGGACGGCUGGUUCUGCACGCAGUGGGGCCACCCAUCCAUCAUCCUGCAUGAUGUCCCUUUAGGACACUGUAAAUCCCUGCAGGAAGGUUGCCUUGGGGCCACCUUGACUUGGAGACACUGUGGCCAACCAUUGACCAUCUGGCACACCGUCCCCUUGGAACACUGGACAUCACUACAUGAGGGUCUCCUGAUGGAAGUCUUUGUUUGGACGCACCGUGGCCAACCAUCCACCAUUUGGCACACAGUUCCCUUCUGACAUUGGACAUCUUGACAGGAGGGCUGGUUCUGAACACAGUGGGGCAACCCGUCCGUCAUCCUACACGAUGUCCCUUUAGGACAGUGGAUGUCCCUGCAGGAAGGUUGCCUUGGGGCCACCUUGACUUGGACACACUGUGGCCAACCAUCUACCAACUGACAGAUCAUGCCUUUGGAACAGCGGACAUCACUACAAGUAGGUCUCCUGAUGGAAGUCUUUGACUGGACACACCGUGGCCAACCAUCCACCAUCUGACACUCAGUUCCCUUCUGACAUUGGACAUCACGACAGGACGGCUGGUUCUGCAUACAUUGGGGCCUCCCAUCUGUCAUCCUACAUGAUGUCCCUUUAGGACACUGCAUGUCCCUGCAGGAAGGUUGCCUUACUGUUAUCUUGGUUUGCACACAGCGUGGCCAGCCAUCCACCAUCUGACACGUGGUCCCCUUGGAGCACUGGAUGUCAUUGCAGGUGGGUUGGACAUGAACACAAAGGGGAUGUCCAUCCGUCAUCUUACAGGUGGUUCCUUUAGGACAGUGGAUGUCACUGCAGGAAGGUGUCCUUGGAGGUACCUUGAUUUGGAUGCACCGUGGCCAUCCAUCCACCAUCUGACACGUGGUCCCCUUGGAGCACUGGAUGUCACUGCAGGUGGGUUGGAUAUGAACACAAAGGGGAUGUCCAUCCAUCAUCUUACAUGUGGUUCCUUUAGGACAGUGGAUGUCACUACACGAAGGCCGCCUUGGAGGUACCUUCAGUUGGACGCACCGUGGCCAUCCAUCCACCAUUUGGCACAUGGUCCCCUUGGAGCACUGGAUGUCGCUGCAGGUGGGUUGGUUCUGGACACACUGGGGAUGCCCAUCCAUCAUCUUACACGUGGUUCCUUUAGGACAGUGGAUGUCACUGCAGGAAGGUCUCCUUGGAGCUACCUUGAGUUGGACGCACCGUGGCCAGCCAUCCACCAUUUGGCACAUGGUCCCCUUGGAGCACUGGAUGUCACUGCACGUGGGCUGGUUUUGGACACACUGGGGAAGUCCAUCCAUCAUCUUACACGCGGUCCCUUUAGGACAGUGGAUGUCACUGCAGGAAGGUCUCCUUGGAGCUACCUUGAGUUGGACGCACUGUGGCCAACCAUCCACCAUCUGACACGUGGUCCCCUUGGAGCACUGGAUGUCGCUGCAGGUAGGUUGGAUUUGGACGCACUGGGGAUGUCCAUCCAUCAUCUUACACGUGGUUCCUUUAGGACAGUGGAGGUCACUGCAGGAAGUUCUCCUUGGAGCUACCUUGAGUUGGACACACCGUGGCCAACCACCCACCAUCUGACAUGUGGUCCCCUUGGAGCACUGGAUGUCACUGCACGUGGGUUGGUUCUGGACACACUGGGGAUGUCCAUCCAUCAUCUUACACGUGGUUCCUUUAGGACAGUGGAAGUCACUGCAGGAAGGUUGCCUUGGAGGUACCUUG